This 710-nucleotide ribosomal RNA is filed under the name uncultured Bacilli bacterium. Its description in RNAcentral is "bacterial SSU rRNA". It matches the Rfam family "Bacterial small subunit ribosomal RNA", at positions 28 to 718 of the family's 1533-position model. The record is from RNAcentral. Lineage: Bacteria; Bacillati; Bacillota; Bacilli.
GACGAACGCUGGCGGCGUGCCUAAUACAUGCAAGUCGAGCGAAGUUUUUCUGGUGCUUGCACUAGAAAAACUUAGCGGCGAACGGGUGAGUAACACGUAAAGAACCUGCCUCAUAGACUGGGACAACUAUUGGAAACGAUAGCUAAUACCGGAUAACAGCAUUAACUGCAUGGUUGAUGUUUAAAAGUUGGUUAUGCUAACACUAUGAGAUGGCUUUGCGGUGCAUUAGCUAGUUGGUGGGGUAAAGGCCCACCAAGGCGACGAUGCAUAGCCGACCUGAGAGGGUGAUCGGCCACACUGGGACUGAGACACGGCCCAGACUCCUACGGGAGGCAGCAGUAGGGAAUCUUCCGCAAUGGGCGAAAGCCUGACGGAGCAACGCCGCGUGAGUGAAGAAGGAUUUCGGUUCGUAAAGCUCUGUUGUUAGGGAAGAAUGGAUAUGUAGUAACUAUACAUGUAAGAGACGGUACCUAACCAGAAAGCCACGGCUAACUACGUGCCAGCAGCCGCGGUAAUACGUAGGUGGCAAGCGUUGUCCGGAAUUAUUGGGCGUAAAGCGCGCGCAGGUGGUUUAAUAAGUCUGAUGUGAAAGCCCACGGCUCAACCGUGGAGGGUCAUUGGAAACUGUUAAACUUGAGUGCAGGAGAGAAAAGUGGAAUUCCUAGUGUAGCGGUGAAAUGCGUAGAGAUUAGGAGGAACACCAGUGGCGA